This 368-nucleotide ribosomal RNA is filed under the name uncultured organism. Its description in RNAcentral is "bacterial SSU rRNA". It matches the Rfam family "Bacterial small subunit ribosomal RNA", at positions 526 to 896 of the family's 1533-position model. The record is from RNAcentral.
CGGAGGGUGCAAGCGUUAUCCGGAUUUACUGGGUUUAAAGGGUGUGUAGGCGGGCUAUUAAGUCAGUGGUGAAAUCUCCGAGCUCAACUUGGAAACUGCCAUUGAUACUAUUAGUCUUGAAUUUUGUUGAGGUAGGCGGAAUAAGUCAUGUAGCGGUGAAAUGCUUAGAUAUGACUUAGAACACCAAUUGCGAAGGCAGCUUGCUAAACAAACAUUGACGCUGAGGCACGAAAGCGUGGGGAUCAAACAGGAUUAGAUACCCUGGUAGUCCACGCCCUAAACGAUGAUUACUCGACAUACGCGAUUCACAGUGUGUGUCUGAGCGAAAGCAUUAAGUAAUCCACCUGGGAAGUACGACCGCAAGGUUG